ACGAAAUAUUCAGGAUAUAUUUAAAAUGUAUAAUUGAAAGAUCAAACUUUUCCGUAUUCCUAGGAAGAAUCGCGAUAACCGGCGUCUUCACCACGUAGCAAAUUAAUAAUAUACUUUCUCUGUUCUGUUUCAACUGAAUUUCGAAGCCUAAAUACUUGAAAUAUAAGAAAGUUUCCUCGAAAGCAUGACAGGCGGCAUAUUUUUGAUACGCGACUAUAAACGCGUCAACGCGAGCAAAAUUAUUGUUGACAUUUGAGUUACGUAAUUACUUCCGUUAACGAGAUUAACCAAUGGGAAGCUUUUCCGAAGAUUCUUCGGAGAAGAACAAAUUAAUCAUAGGCAUUUGGGCAGGCGUUUAUUUAACGACGCCCUUUCUUCUCCCGCCUGCACUAAACGCCUGCUACGCAGGCUAGUGAUUAGACGAAUAUAUUGAUCCAUAAAGCGGAACAGAAGUAUUAUUUCAACAAGUUCAACUUUUACAGGUUCAAUCAUGCAUUGUAAAUCUGUAAUGACUAAUGGCAACGUUUGUAUAUGUUUAUUACCAUAGAUCGCAUAGCUGGAUUCAAGCAUGUUGCGUCAGGUUAACAUUUAUUAAAGGUC
Molecule: non-coding RNA, 600 nt
Organism: Paramuricea clavata
Lineage: Eukaryota; Metazoa; Cnidaria; Anthozoa; Malacalcyonacea; Plexauridae
Source: the annotation of a GenBank genome assembly